GGUUCCGUAGUGUAGUGGGCAUCACGUUCGCUUCCACAUCGCGAAAGGCCCCCGGUUCGAUCCCCCGGACGGAACCU
Non-coding RNA from Trichonephila inaurata madagascariensis, 77 nucleotides. The record is from the annotation of a GenBank genome assembly. Lineage: Eukaryota; Metazoa; Arthropoda; Arachnida; Araneae; Nephilidae.